Molecule: ribosomal RNA, 491 nt
Filed under: uncultured bacterium
Lineage: Bacteria
Description: partial 16S ribosomal RNA
Rfam family: Bacterial small subunit ribosomal RNA
Source: RNAcentral
AGUGAACGCUGGCGGUAGGCCUAACACAUGCAAGUCGAACGGCAGCACAGUAAGAGCUUGCUCUUACGGGUGGCGAGUGGCGGACGGGUGAGGAAUACAUCGGAAUCUACUUUUUCGUGGGGGAUAACGUAGGGAAACUUACGCUAAUACCGCAUACGACCUACGGGUGAAAGCAGGGGAUCUUCGGACCUUGCGCGAUUGAAUGAGCCGAUGUCGGAUUAGCUAGUUGGCGGGGUAAAGGCCCACCAAGGCGACGAUCCGUAGCUGGUCUGAGAGGAUGAUCAGCCACACUGGAACUGAGACACGGUCCAGAAUCCUACGGGAGGCAGCAGUGGGGAAUAUUGGACAGUGGGCGCAAGCCUGAUCCAGCCAUACCGCGUGGGUGAAGAAGGCCUUCGGGUUGUAAAGCCCUUUUGUUGGGAAAGAAAAGCAGCAGGUUAAUACCCCGCUGUUCUGACGGUACCCAAAGAAUAAGCACCGGCUAACUUCGU